GGGGGUGUAAAGGUUUCGACAUACUACCAGAAAUAUAGAUAGCAAGUAGUGGAUUCUCGUUGGCCACUUAAAAAAACGGGAAACUAAAAAUAAACGCAGAAAAUAAUAAUGAGUACGCAUUAGCUGCCUAAGUUGCAGCUACACUUUUCUAAAAAUGCCUACGUUUUUGGAUAAAGUGCUAAUCUAGUAGGAAACAAAGCUACUUUUUCUUUGGAAGUAGUGGGUAUUAAACAAAGAUAUCGUCUUUAAAAACCUGUUUUUCGGUGUUUAAAGAAGGAAGAAAAAAGAAAAACUAAACUUGUAGAAAUCUAUAUGGAAAGUAUUAUGGACAGGAGUUCGAUUCUCCUCACCUCCACCA
Molecule: transfer-messenger RNA, 358 nt
Filed under: chicken gut metagenome
Rfam family: transfer-messenger RNA
About the family: Bacterial tmRNA, also known as 10Sa RNA or SsrA, is named for its dual tRNA and mRNA-like properties. Its role is to liberate the mRNA from a stalled ribosome.
Source: RNAcentral